RNAcentral lists this ribosomal RNA (301 nucleotides) under uncultured bacterium. Its description in RNAcentral is "partial 16S ribosomal RNA". It matches the Rfam family "Bacterial small subunit ribosomal RNA", at positions 509 to 807 of the family's 1533-position model. The record is from RNAcentral.
CAGUAGCCACGGUAAUACGAAGGUCCCGAGCGUUGUUCGGAAUCACUGGGCGUAAAGGGAGCGUAGGCGGCGUGGUAAGUCAGAUGUGAAAUCCCGGGGCUCAACCCCGGAACUGCAUCCGAUACUGCCAUGCUAGAGGAUUGGAGAGGUAGCUGGAAUUCUUGGUGUAGCAGUGAAAUGCGUGGAGAUCAAGAGGAACACUCGUGGCGAAAGCGAGCUACUGGACAAUAACUGACGCUGAGGCUCGAAGGCCAGGGUAGCGAAAGGGAUUAGAUACCCCUGUAGUCCCUGUCUCUUAUAC